UACGAAGGGGGCUAGCGUUGCUCGGAAUCACUGGGCGUAAAGCGCACGUAGGCGGAUCGUUAAGUCGGAGGUGAAGUCCUGGAGCUCAACUCCAGAACUGCCUUCGAUACUGGCGAUCUUGGAGUCCGGGAGAGGUGAGUGGAACUCCGAGUGUAGAGGUGAAAUUCGUAGAUAUUCGCAAGAACACCAGUGGCGAAGGCGGCUCACUGGCCCGGUACUGACGCUGAGGUGCGAAAGCGUGGGGAGCAAACAGG
RNAcentral lists this ribosomal RNA (254 nucleotides) under uncultured bacterium. Its description in RNAcentral is "partial 16S ribosomal RNA". It matches the Rfam family "Bacterial small subunit ribosomal RNA", at positions 524 to 776 of the family's 1533-position model. The record is from RNAcentral.